Molecule: long non-coding RNA, 2872 nt
Organism: Homo sapiens (human)
Lineage: Eukaryota; Metazoa; Chordata; Mammalia; Primates; Hominidae
Gene: FAM27C
Product: family with sequence similarity 27 member C
Source: Ensembl
GUUGUCUUAGAAACCAGUCCCCGAGGCUUGGCAAAGCAGGAGCCCUCUGUGGCAGUGCUUGGGUGUCGGGGCUCUGAGGAUCCGGCCUCACCUCUCCACGGGGUCGACGGGAACGUCUCCGGAUGCCAGGAGUCGCAAAGGGCCGACCACGAUGAGGAAACCCCAGGCUGGGACGGGGGAAGCAGCACGGGAUCCCAGCCUCAGGCCUGCCCGGACGGUGUUGGUUGGGAGACGAGGUCUCACUAUAUUGACCAGGCUGGUCUUGAACUCCUGGCCUUAAGCGAUCCUCCUGCCUUGGCCUCCCAAAGUGCUGGAGUUACAGAUGUGAGCCUCUGUGCUCAGUCCAUCCUUGGCUGUUCAAGUGUAGAGCCCUCAGCAACCACCACCUCGAUCAGUCACUAGCUAUCAACAUUGAGACAAGACCAUCCAGCAGCAAAAUGAUGAUGACUUACUGAAGGCCCAGAUGAUGGUUAGCAGUUUUUGGCAAUCACGUAUUUUCAAAAACCAAACCUGCAAUAUCUCCAAGGUGUGCCUGUAUCCCUAGAAGCAGAGCUGGAGUAAGGACUUCGGUGUGGGUGGUUUAUUUGGAAAGUGAUUCCAAGAAGCAAGAGUCAGAAGUGGGAAGAGUGAGCCAGGCAAGAAAGAAAAGCCAAAAUAAUGGCAUGCUAUUGAGGCUCCUGCCAUGCAGUUUUUUCUGCAGGACCUUCCGAGAGGCUCCGGAAAGUUAUCCAGAAAUGCCCACCUGAAACAUGAGCCUGGAGCAUUUGUCCACCUGUCCCACACUGGUUGAGGUCUUCCCCUGAGGCUGUUAACCUGCAAGUGUUUCUGGGCUGUAUUUGUGCUCAGGCAAAAUCGUACAAUAAUGGAGAUUCCCUAGGGCAGAAAGUGUAUCUUGAGUUUGCUGGCAGCACAAGAGAAGCCUGUGCUUCCAUGGAACUUCUCACGGUGUCUGAGACUGAAUGAAAGGUCCAGUGUCUGAUUCUUUUGGGAAGCUGGAUAUGAAGUCAGAAUCUUUCUUUGAGUCAUACAUUUUCAUGAUUAUGAUUAUUAUUGAAUGAUAGCUGACAAUUAUUGAGAGCAAUUAUUGAGGACAAUUAUUGAGCUUUCACAAGCCCUUUUCAAAGGUCUUUACAUAUAUUUUCUCCACUUCUAACUGUUAGAUAUUCUUAUUAUUCCCAUUUUGUAGAUGAGGGAUACACAGGCAUAAAGCCUAUGUGGAGGCAGAGAGCAGCUACGUAACCUGACCAUGGCCCAACAGCAAACAAAUGAUGGGGCCACAUGCAAAUCCAGGCAGAAUCCUUCUAUUAUAUGAAGCUCAAUGUUUUCUUGUUUGCAGCUUGUUAUGAAUACAUCUAUUUGCAAAUGGGUUUUGAAGCUACUUUAAAACAUUUUGUGGCUGUGCGUGGUGGCUGGCACCUGUAAUCCCAGCAUUAUGGGAGACCAAGGUGGGCAGAUUGCCUGAGCUCAGGAGUUUGAGACCAACCUGGCCAACAUGGUGAAACCCUGUGCCUACUAAAAAUACAAAAAAAUUAGCCAGGUGUGUUGGUGUGCACCUGUAAUCCCAGCUACUCUGGAGGGUGAGGCAGGAGAAUCACUUGAACCCAGGAGAGGAAGGUUGCAGUAAGCUGAGAUCAUGCCACUGAACUCCAGCCUGGGCAACAGAGUGAGAUUCUGUCUCCAAAUAAAAAAUAAAUAAGAUUGAAUUUUGAGCUCCUGACCAUGUCCCUAGAUUGUACUCAUAUGUAUUUUGAUGUCUAAUAAGAUUUAUUCUCAGUGCAUUUUUUAAGUGAAAGUAUUUAUUGAGCAUCUACUGUAUAUCAUGUGCUGAAAUAGGCACCAGUGGUGCAGGGAACAUAUGGCACAGUGUCUGACCUCAGGUAACUUUCACUCUCAUACAUAUGUAUUAGGACACCAACACAUGUGUGAAUAUAAGAUAGUAUGAUAGAUAUUGCAACAAGUAAUUAUUUACUGUAAACCUAUUUUAUAGGAUUUUAAACUUAAACUACUUUCACCCUAUUUCCAAAAAAAAGUAUUGCAUAACUUUAAAUAGAUUCUCAGUUUGAAAUCAUCAUACAAACUGCAGUAGCAUCUGCUGGUGAAAUACUGCUUUGUAUCUAUUAGAAUAGUCCAAACAAUUGUGAGACAACUGCAUUAUUAGAGCUGUAAAAGUUAUUGUCUAGAAAUCUCAGAGAAGAAGAGGAAGUUCUAUGGUAGAUGAAUAAGAUGACAUCUAAACUGUUCUCUUCAGCUACUGAAGUUCUGUGGAUAUCUCACAGCACAAAGUUCAAGUGUAUGCCCACAGCUCCUCAUGCCACAAGAUGUGACACCUUUCCAAUCUCUUUUUGCAAAAGUUUCCAAUUAUGUCUCUUUUAAGAGUACUUUUUAUACCCACAUAUUCCAGAUUUUGUGGUGCACGCAAAGACAAGAUGGGAAGGGGCUUCCAUUUAUUGAUGCCAGCUGCUCCAUGGACCAGGCCCUGCCCAUGCAUCCAUGUUGGUUCUUUUAUCCCCACAUCAGCCAUAGCCCAUAAGCAUUAACUGCCAUUGCACAGAUGAGGAAAUUGAAAGUCUAAGAGAAUAUGCAAUCUACCCAGAGUCAUGCAGCUUGUGUAUGUAAGGGUUGGAAUGAAAAUCCAAUCUGUGUGAGUCCCAAGUCCCCUUCCACCAUAUGGUUUCCAUUUCAUUUUGCAAUCAGAUUGGCUGGGAUAUGUCUGCCCUAAAAGACAGUAAGUAGGAAUAUUUGUCUCUAUACCUUAACCUGACAUCCAUGGGCUUGCUUUUUGUAUUUGGAGGUGUCAUAACAUUAUAAUAAUAAUUUGAUUUUAUUUGUACAGUGGAUAUUAUACUACUCAGUCUAGAGAUUUAUGACAUCC